RNA transcript from Aquila chrysaetos chrysaetos, 5138 nucleotides. It is a transcript of the gene named TAM41 mitochondrial translocator assembly and maintenance homolog, with no coding region annotated. NCBI's taxonomy places the organism in Eukaryota, Metazoa, Chordata, Aves, Accipitriformes, Accipitridae. The transcript is spliced from 10 exons. The record is from RefSeq and is a predicted model, not a curated record.
GCCGGUGGGCGGGCAGAGGCGGCGCGGCGGGAAGGCGGGCCGGGCCGGGCCAGGCCGGGCCGGAGCGGGCGCUGCCCGGUGGGCUCCAUGGCGCUGCCGGUGCUGUCGAGCUCGGGGGUGAAGUUCCGGCGGGUCCUGGCGCACUUCCCUCAGGAGCUCAGCCUGGCUUUCGCCUACGGGUCCGGAGUCUUCCGGCAGGCGGGGGCCUCGGCCGGGCACGGCGAGAACAAUAUGCUGGACUUUGUGUUUGCUGUUGAUGACUCUGUGACCUGGCAUAUGAUGAACUUGUUAAAGAACAGGAGUCAUUAUUCCUUCCUAAAACUUUUUGGGCCAAAACAGAUAAGUAGUAUACAGAGCUAUGGAGCAGGGAUUUACUACAAUACUUUAGUGCCAUGUAAUGGUAGGAUGAUAAAAUAUGGUGUAAUUAGCACUGAUACCCUGAUUGAUGAUUUACUUCACUGGAAAACCCUCUAUGUCGCUGGACGCCUCCAAAAACCGGUGAAAAUACUGACACAGAAUGAGAAUAGCAAGCUGCAAGCUGCUCUUGUUAGCAAUCUGAAGAGCGCAGUCACAGCAGCCUUUCUCAUGUUACCAGAAAGUUUCUCUGAAGAAGACCUCUAUAUGCAGAUUGCAGGACUCUCCUAUUCUGGUGAUUUCAGAAUGGUAAUAGGAGAAGACAGAUCGAAAGUGCAGAACAUAGUGAAACCUAAUGUUCCCCAUUUUCAGAAGCUGUACAGUAACAUAUUACAGGACUGCCCUCAAGUGGUAUAUAAGCACCAUCUGGGAAGGCUAGAGAUUGAUAAAAGUCCAGAAGGUCAAUUUACGCAACUAAUGGCUUUGCCAAGGACUCUGCAGCAAAAGAUAACUUAUCUGGUAGACCCUCCUGGAAAAAACAGAGACGUGGAAGAAAUUUUACUGCAGGUUGCCCAUGACCCUGACUGUGGAUUUGUGGUGCAUCAAGGCAUUUCAGGAAUUGUGAGAUCUUCCAGUAUAGUGCAGAGUGCUAAAACCAUACUAACAGCUGGGGCAAAGAAAUCUGUAACUUACAGUAUGAAGAAAUUAUAUAAAAUGACAAAGGGAUGGUUAAGGAAGACAUCUUGAGUCUUGACAUACUGUGUAUGGGUAAAUAAAUGGUAUGCUUGGUGGAAAAUUCUUAAGAACAGAGAAUACUGAUCCCAGUGGUAGAAACAGACCCCAACAGAUACAAAGCUUUCGGACAAAUGAACAGCACGUGAAAAGAUUCAGGAUGGAAUCAUGACCUUCUGAAUGAAAUAGUUACCAGGUAAGAAGUGCAGUGCUGGCCAAACUGCCUGCUUUAGUCAUCUAAUGAGGUAACAGCUUUUAUUUUUUAUUCCAAAUGAAGUACACUGUAGCAGAAACUGCAUAUGGGCAGGAGCAUGGACAAAAGACUGAUUCUUACACCAGCAAUUUGGUGUUAGCAAAUUUUUAGUAGGGCUCAUUGUAUUAUUCAAAGUCCUCAUCUGUGAAAGUCUUAGGAUACAAAAAAAAAUUUGGAAACUGAAAUUGAAAGCACAUAAUAUAUUGAGUCCCUGUGGGAAACAGGACAGUUUCAAAAAUAACCCUCUGCAUGAAUAGUUAGCAGAAUUAUUUAUUUAUUUAUUUUUAAUGUAACUGAAUUUUAUAUGUUCAGGGCUUUCUUUUGUAGUUGUGUUUUACUUUCUUUUAAGGCUGUAUGGGAAAGGGUCUAAGUAAGCCUUAAGUCCUAAAGGAGAGGAUGCUUAACACUGGUGAGGAUUUGUCCUCGACAAAGUCAACGAGAUCACUUUUAGUGAAAUUGUAUUUUUCUCUGUGUGUGUCUGAAUUCUGUUGCUGUAGUCAACUUUUAGGAAAUGAAUAAUGUAAGCAGAAAACUAUAGUUGUGUUUAUGUUUUUAAAAGAUGCCGGUUGCUGCACACUGGAUUGUUAGAAAUCUAUUCCUUGUACUGAAUACAUUACCAGAUAAUUAAGGCUAACAACUACAAUGUUAUUCCAAAUUUUGCCUCAUUUAUCUCCUCUUUAUGUCUUUAAAUGAAAAUGUAACUAUUGCAUUUUUUUAAUUCCCAUAAUUCCCUCAAGGAUGCAGGCUUUCCUAGGUGCUGUAUAGAAAUGUAUAAGCUGAAAGGAAAAAAAAAAAAAAAAAAGGACAUCUGUGGUGCACAGAUGGAGCAAAAACUUAUCCACAGAAUAAGCAAUAUGACCAAAUAAAAAAAAAUAGUAGGCAGUGGCAAAACCAGACACUCUUACCUUUUAAGGAGCUCAUUCCUUCCUCCUGUAAUAGUGCAGUUAAGUGAAGUUUUACAUCAUGAGCCAUACUGGGAAUUAAUAUCAUUGAACAAAACCAUCCUGACCAACCUGUGCCUUUUUGGGGGGUGUUUUGUUUUUUACACGAAAAGGUGAGGAUGGGGCUUUUAAAACCUGGUUAAAUAACAGCACCACAGGAUGUGAAACCACUGGCUCAUAAAUUGUAACUGCUUCAAGCACUGGUUGAGAGAGAUCAUGUGUCAUAAGAUUGCCCAACAUCUGGUUGAGAAUUCUUACUAGCAAAGCAUUUAAUCACAUGCUUGACUUAAAAUGCAUACAUGACUACCAUUGUUGAAUAGGUAUGUAAUUCCUUUUUGAGACUAAUGGCAACAUAUAGCUUGGGCUGCUUGAAUCUACAGAAGUAAAAAGAAAAUGUAAAAAAACCUCUGUGAUGUCUUAGUACAGCUGGACACUGCCGAACCCCUCCUGGGGUAUGGCUGCAGCAUAAGUGAAGGCUGGAUUCUAACAGCUCAUUCCCUUUCAUGGUUUUUAUUUGUUACCUUGAAGUUGUGGCUGUUUUCCCUUUUAUUGAGAAGAGGGUACCUUGGAGAUGUGUGUGUGCUAGAACUUUAAAUAGAAUAUCCUAUGAGGAUAUCUUGCAUUGUAAGAGGCUCAGUGUUUCUCCUUCUCUGCAGUUCCUCACUACUGCUAGGUUUGGGUAUAAACGGCAGUUAAAUCUAGAAUUCUUCAAAUGAUGAAAUGCAGUUGUAACUCUAGGGAAGCAUUUAAAAGAGCACCUUUCUUUUAAAAGCCAUUAGCAAUACAGUUAAAGAUAAUGUUUUGAAUAUUAAAGUAAGACAUAUUUAAAAGUGGUUUUGGUGUUUCAGAAGGUGCUUGCUGCUGAAAUGGUGGUUCGAAACAUUAAAAGUCAAUUACAAGUCAAUCUGAUGUGUGAGAAUGAGUUGGCCUCAGCUGUAGCGAAGCAGCUAUCUUCAUUCUGAACCUUGCUAGCUAAGCAAGGGCAUUUAUUCAAGAAAUAAUGUUCUCACAGCAAAAAUAGGAAUGUACUGCUUGCUGUUUAGCAGCUAAUUAAACAUUUUUAUGUGCAGCAGAUGCUGUAUGGCGUCAAACGCUCCCAACCUUUAAACUGUUUGUCAUGCUGCCAGUGGAUUGGUCUUUCCCUUUACAGGUGUUACUUUACUGCAGAGGGUGCCUGUAAUCUGAACUGGCCAUGUUUGUCUUGCGUGGCUGAAAUACCCAUUGCAUAUCUCGAUUUGGCUUUAUGAACUUUCUUUGUGUAUAGCAAUAUAAUGGGUCAUUUCUUGCUCUUUGGAGAGAGUUUCACAAAUCCCAGUUUAAUAGUUCCUAGUUUACUCCAUCUGUUGAUACAUUGCCAGUAUUCAAGUCUGUGCAGUAAAUCUCUGAGACGUAAGAAAGUCCUUCCUCAUCAUCCAUAUAGGCUGAAAUCUUAAACUGUAUUCUGUUCUGUAAAUCAUUUAUCUUUCUACUUUUUUAAAAAGUGGCCUACCUUUCCCCUUGAGGCCAUUGGUCUUGAAUGUAUUUAUUUUUUUGGCAGAGAGCCAUGAAUGAAUCAUAGCCUAGAGCAGCUUACAGUCUGAGCUCCUCUCUAUUGUUAAUAUAAAAUACUUUAUGCAGUUGUUACAACGUUUUGCUAUGUAAAACUUUUAAGAGAAGAGAGAUUGAUUUCAGACUUGUUAGCUGCCUUUGAAGUUCCUCAACAGUAUGUGGAAAUGAUUUCUUAUGGUCAUACAGCUGUAAUCCACUAAAAUAACUAGUGAUUGUUGCAUGGGAAGUUAGUACAUGGGAAUAUGUUACUAACUCUUUGUCGUAAUGAGGUGUGUUUGUUCUUUCAUGAAAAAUAGUCACUUUAGCUUUUCAUUCCAUUUGUAACUUUCCUGUUUAUACCUUCCUGCUCCAUUUCCAUACUGCUUUAUUGUUUCUCUUCUUGACUUAAUUCUCAAGUCUUUCGUUCUGUUCUUCAGACAUCCCUCUGUUCUGGUUUGGCUGUUCCACCAUGGAUAUUGUUUCAUGCUCCAUCCCCUUUUUUCCUGUGUAACAGUGCUUUCUUUAAAGGCAACCAGGCAGAUGAUUUACUCCCUGAUGUCUUAAAAGACUUCUUUGUAAUGAAGAGCCUGGACCCAAUCAAACUAUUAAGGAUUUCUGUAGGUGAGUCAGCACCAUGGGCCUAGCUGGCUCUGAGAUCGACAGUGCCAGUGAGGUAUGUAACUCUAUCUCAUGCUUCAGAGGGAAUAAACUAGAUGACAGGAUGAAUGGGAAAUCAAAAUUUGACUGGACACAUAACUGUAGAUUCUGGUUUCCACUUCUCUUUACAGUCCUUAAUCUCAGUAUUGUGUCCCUUUAUUAACUUGCCUACCGUUGUGAGCAAUCCAUUUGGCUAGCAGUAUGGUGUUUGGCUGGUCCUAGACUUCAAGGUUUGAGGAGUGCAUAAAACUGUACCACACAGGAUGCCGACUUCCUCCAUCAACAUGUUCUGGUAUUGGGGCUUACAUCCUAGAUGAUGAGAUUGUGCACAUUCUGCACACUCACGGCUAACUCUGACCCUGCAUCCUUGGAUUAGAAAAUUGCCAAGUAGAAGAGUGAGUCAGUAGCAGUUUGACAGUUGGAAAGUGAGUUUGUACAGACAACAGUAGAUGAUGAAACUACAUCACUGUGCUUUAACUUCUUACAAAAUUAAGUGGAUUAUAUUUAAAGGUUGUACUUGCAUAGAUGCUGUUAAAGCAAAGCAUCUGUUUUCUUCUGCUUUACUUUUAUUUAAAGAAUGUAUCUUCUCUGUUCCUUGUCUAGUUUAUUUGUGACUAAUUUCAGCAGGAUUCUCUUCCCAAUAUAAAAUUGAAAAUGAUUGUGUUAUUUGUAUU